This 489-nucleotide ribosomal RNA is filed under the name uncultured bacterium. RNAcentral describes it as "partial 16S ribosomal RNA". It matches the Rfam family "Bacterial small subunit ribosomal RNA", at positions 28 to 507 of the family's 1533-position model. The record is from RNAcentral.
GAUGAACGCUAGCUACAGGCUUAACACACGCAAGUCGAGGGGCAGCAUGAUUGAAGCUUGCUUCAAUCGAUGGCGACCGGCGCACGGGUGAGUAACACGUAUCCAACCUGCCGAUAACUCGGGGAUAGCCUUUCGAAAGAAAGAUUAAUACCCGAUAGUAUAGUAUUUCCGCAUGGUUUCACUAUUAAAGAACUUCGGUUAUCGAUGGGGAUGCGUUCCAUUAGAUAGUUGGCGGGGUAACGGCCCACCAAGUCAACGAUGGAUAGGGGUUCUGAGAGGAAGGUCCCCCACAUUGGAACUGAGACACGGUCCAAACUCCUACGGGAGGCAGCAGUGAGGAAGAUUGGUCAAUGGACGAGAGUCUGAACCAGCCAAGUAGCGUGAAGGAUGACUGCCCUAUGGGUGGUAAACUUCUUUUAUACGGGAAUAAAGUGGAGUAUGCAUACUCCUUUGUAUGUACCGUAUGAAUAAGGAUCGGCUAACUCCGUG